This 388-nucleotide ribosomal RNA is filed under the name uncultured eukaryote. RNAcentral's name for it is "partial 18S ribosomal RNA". It matches the Rfam family "Eukaryotic small subunit ribosomal RNA", at positions 592 to 976 of the family's 1831-position model. The record is from RNAcentral.
CAAUAGCGUAUAUUAAAGUUGUUGCAGUUAAAAAGCUCGUAGUUGGAUUUCUGAUCGGGACAUCAGGUCGGGUCCGAGAGGAUCAUGUACUUUGAUUUUGUUUUGAUCAUCCUUGGGGAGAGCAUUUCUGGCAUUCAGUUGUCGGGAUUGGGAUCCUCAUCGUUUACUGUGAAAAAAUUAGAGUGUUCAAAGCAGGCCUCGGCCUCUGAAUACAUUAGCAUGGAAUAAUAAGAUAGGACUUUGGUGGUCUAUUUUGUUGGUUUGCACGCCAAAGUAAUGAUUAAUAGGGAUAGUUGGGGGUAUUCGUAUUCAAUUGUCAGAGGUGAAAUUCUUGGAUUUAUGGAAGACGAACUACUGCGAAAGCAUUUACCAAGGAUGUUUUCAUUAA